CAGGCAACAGAGAACCAUCCUUUCUGCAAGUGCGCACAGAAGCCACCGUUGACCACAGUCAUGGUUGCCGUGAGCAGCAAAUCCUUCCUUCUCGCCCUCCUGGUGUUGGCUGUCGUCUGCAGUCUGGCAGCCGCCCAGUUCGGCUUCGGCCGCGGCUUCGGAAGGGGCUAUGGCGGCUACGGUGGCUAUGGCCGCGGCUUCGGAGGGUACGGCCGCGGCUUCGGUGGAUACGGCCGUGGGUUCGGAGGCUAUGGACGCGGCUUCUACGGCUGAGCCACUAUUGUAGUCGCAUGAUUGAGGACACGGAAACGCCCCAGAACAGCGGAGGCGCAGCUAGAAUAUUCAAGACAAAGAAGGGAGCAAUAAAUAAUUUAUUUUGGCAAAGGGA
RNAcentral lists this long non-coding RNA (388 nucleotides) under Dermacentor andersoni. RNAcentral describes it as "uncharacterized LOC126530421". The record is from RNAcentral. Lineage: Eukaryota; Metazoa; Arthropoda; Arachnida; Ixodida; Ixodidae.